RNAcentral lists this ribosomal RNA (428 nucleotides) under uncultured bacterium. RNAcentral describes it as "partial 16S ribosomal RNA". It matches the Rfam family "Bacterial small subunit ribosomal RNA", at positions 354 to 796 of the family's 1533-position model. The record is from RNAcentral.
GUGGGGAAUAUUGGGCAAUGGGCGCAAGCCUGACCCAGCAACGCCGCGUGAAGGAAGAAGGCUUUCGGGUUGUAAACUUCUUUUACCAGGGACGAAACAAAUGACGGUACCUGGUGAAUAAGCCACGGCUAACUACGUGCCAGCAGCCGCGGUAAUACGUAGGUGGCGAGCGUUAUCCGGAUUUAUUGGGUGUAAAGGGCGUGUAGGCGGGACAGCAAGUCAGAUGUGAAAACCAGAGGCUCAACCUCUGGCCUGCAUUUGAAACUGUGGUUCUUGAGUGUCGGAGAGGUAAUCGGAAUUCCGUGUGUAGCGGUGAAAUGCGUAGAUAUACGGAGGAAAACCAGUGGCGAAGGCGGAUUACUGGACGAUAACUGACGCUGAGGCGCGAAAGCGUGGGGAGCAAACAGGAUUAGAUACCCCUGUAGUCC